CACAAUUCAGGUCUGGACACAUAAUUCAUGCUGCAGUGAUUGGUCCAGGGAUUGUCACAGGGGACCCACGUGGGUCAGUCAGGACCCUAUUCUGUGUUUCUUCUUACUGAAGUUGGAGAGAGAAGUCUUUUUCCUCUGGAGCCAUGAAUGUGGGAUGAGGAGGCAGAGGUCCCCCGCAACAGGAGAGGACAGUCGCUGUGAGAAGAUGAAGCUGGUAAAUCCUGGUCAUGACACAAAAACCCAGAGCAAGUUCUGUCUUCCAGCAAGUUGUUCACCUUCACUCUACUCUUCUUUCUUCUAUAAUAAAACAAGAAGAUUUAACCAGAAUCUGUCUCCAGCAGAAAGGAGAGGGUGGAGUUCUUCGUCCUCCGUCUGAGUCAGGACUAAGAACUCACGGAAGCCAGAGGCACGAAGGCUCUGGAGAGCUGAGACCUUGAUCCGAGCAGGUGCAUUCUGUUUGCUUCUGCGAGUGAUCGCCUUUGAACAUCAGACUCCAGAUUCUCCAGCCUUCGAAGAUGCACGUGUACCAGAGCCUCUUCAGGAAGCUUCCGGGCCUUCAGCCUCAGACUGGGGCUGCAUCACUGGUGCCUCUUCUUCUGAGGUUCUCAGCUUCUUGGCCUGAGCAGCUACUGGUUUCCUCUGCUCUCCAUCCUACAGACAGCCUAUGGACUAUUCAGCAUCUGGUCUUAUAAAUCAGUCCAAUGAAUCCUCUCAUAAUUAUAUGUACAUUCUAUUGGUUCGGCUCCCCUGGAGAACCCUGGCCAACCCAACAGGGACAGAUUUAAUGUGAAGGCAUCUUGUGCUAAGGUAAACAGAUGUGGAAUGGAACCCGAGUCCUCACCUGAAGCACUGGAGAUGAAGUACUGGAGGUGUGGCCGGCCGCAUGCAGAGGGCGCUGGAGGAGCAGCCUGGUGCUCACUCGCACACUGCUGCAGGCCAGAUCGGCAAGAUCAAAGGGGAGUGUCUGACAAAUGUCUGGCCCCUGCCCACCAGCCCUUCACCGUGCCCCGGCUCCACCUGCCUGAAACCCGAGUGCCUGCAGGGAUGCGUGGGCCCUGCCUAGGAGGGUGACUGGUGACGUUUGGUAGCACGGUGUGCUUGGCUUCAUGCAGCAUGUGGCAGGGCAGUGGGUGGCAUGCCAUCGCUCUUCACUUGCUCCAGCAUCUCUCUGAGGAGCUCGGGAUGAGGCUAUCCAUGGCUGGAGAUGCUGGGCAGAUGCGUAGAUACGUGUGUGUAACAUGUGUAUCUUACACAGAUACCUGUAGAAGGAUAUGCACAGCCUCCUGUAUGUCUAAAGAAUAUUUAUGUUAAGGAACUGGCUUACAUAAUUGUGAAAUCAGAAGUCCGCAAGGCUGGCAACACAGGGAAGCAAGGAUGUUGCAGCCCCAUCAGCUGCCAGGCCCCUCUUCCUGAGAGGACAGCACUCGUUGGUCACCAGGCCUCCCACAGUGCAGAGGACCAUCGGUUUCACUUGCAGGAGGCUUACACGUCAACCCCACUGGAAAUGACUUCACAGCAUCAGCCUGAUGCAACUACCAGGUUAUCUGGGCACCAUGAUCUUUCCAAAUUGACAUAUUAAAGUUAACUAGCUUGAGUUGGUGUGGUGCCACAUACAU
Molecule: long non-coding RNA, 1616 nt
Organism: Heterocephalus glaber (naked mole-rat)
Lineage: Eukaryota; Metazoa; Chordata; Mammalia; Rodentia; Bathyergidae
Source: Ensembl